RNAcentral lists this ribosomal RNA (542 nucleotides) under fungal sp. TZ-2013. Its description in RNAcentral is "eukaryotic LSU rRNA". The stretch from base 172 to 325 matches the Rfam family "5.8S ribosomal RNA". The record is from RNAcentral. Lineage: Eukaryota; Fungi.
GUGGGGGGUCGCUGUUAUAAGACUCCCAAACCAUUGUGACGUACCCGUCAGCGUUGCCUCGGCGGGCGGCCCCUCCCUGGGGCCGCUGCCUCCCUCGGGGGGUGCCCGCCGGCGUACCAAAACUCUUUUGUAUUUUAGUGGCCUCUCUGAGAAAACAAGCAAAUAAGUUAAAACUUUCAACAACGGAUCUCUUGGUUCUGGCAUCGAUGAAGAACGCAGCGAAAUGCGAUAAGUAAUGUGAAUUGCAGAAUUCAGUGAAUCAUCGAAUCUUUGAACGCACAUUGCGCCCGCCAGUACUCUGGCGGGCAUGCCUGUUCGAGCGUCAUUUCAACCCUCAAGCCCCGCUUGGUGUUGGGGUCCUACGGCUGCCGUAGGCCCUGAAAGCUAGUGGCGGGCUCGCUAUAACUCCGAGCGUAGUAGUAAAAUAUCUCGCUAGGGAGGUGUCGCGGGUUCCGGCCGUGAAAGCCCAUCUUUUACACAAGGUUGACCUCGGAUCAGGUAGGAAUACCCGCUGAACUUAAGCAUAUCAAUAAGCGGAGGAA